CCGCCUAGCCGUGCGGUCGUGUCCGCUGAACGUUCUCCUGCGCGCAUCACUCGACUCAUGCACACUCGUACGCGCGCGCGCCCGGCGCCGCCGCGCACUCACACACGCGCACCGCUAUACACUCGCACACCACCACCGUUCACCAGUUCAUUUCGCAUACUUCCACGUCACGCAUACUCUUACACUGACCGUCGUCGCACUCGCACCGUCUCCGUCUCGUCGUAGUCUCUCCGUGUUCACAGGUGAGUUCCUCGCGCACAUUAUUCUUCAUGUUAACUUUAUUUAUUUUAUUUUGUUUUUUUUUUUUUUCCGUGUUUAAAUUUUUAUUUCUCGAACAAUUUUCAUUUUGUGUUUGCGGUAUUUAUUUUAAUUUUUUUUUCUCUCCGUUUUACCGCACAGGCUUCUUCGUCCUUGUCCGUCCGCAUGACCGCGUGGUUUUCGAAUUUAUUACGUCUCUCGUUCCGUCCAAACGAGACUUGUAUUUUUUUUUUUUCGGUUUUAAAAAAAAACUUCGUUUAUUAUUUAUUAUUUUUUAUUUUUCGGUUUUUACUUAUUUUUUUCCCCGUCGCGCCCGUAGUGUUCGUGUUUACGAACAGUCGCCGGUUUUCCGAAAUAAAUAACGUUUUUAAAUAACAUUAAUAAAAAUAAAUAAAGAAUCUCUGCCGAUGAUAGUGUGGGGGGAGGCCAAAGAGAGAAAAAUCCCCCAGACGGCGGCGUCGUCGACCGGUGGCCGUCUUUGGAACGGGUUUUUUUUUUUUUUUUAUUUCGUAUUUUUCAGUUCUUCGGCGCACGUCUUCCACCACGGACACCGCCCGCUAAACCACGCGGGCCGGACCAGACGGCCGAGACUCAGUCUUUCGUACAAGAAGAAAAAAAAAACAGCAAUGACCACUAGCGAGGUAUAGAGUUCCUACGUUCUUGAAUUUAUUACUCGUAGGAACUUCAUACCGUGCUCUUGGGCUUGUGACAAUCUGCGAUGGACACGCGGUUUUGUACGAAUUUUUUUUUUUUUUCAAAAUUUAUUUAUACAAUUAUUAUUACGAUAAGAUUUUUUUUUUUUUUUUUACUCUGUAUUUUUAUUUGAACUUUUUUUUUUUUUAUCUGUAUAUUUUAUUUGUAUUUUCC
Molecule: non-coding RNA, 1125 nt
Organism: Cinara cedri
Lineage: Eukaryota; Metazoa; Arthropoda; Insecta; Hemiptera; Aphididae
Source: the annotation of a GenBank genome assembly